Molecule: ribosomal RNA, 424 nt
Filed under: uncultured bacterium
Lineage: Bacteria
Description: bacterial SSU rRNA
Rfam family: Bacterial small subunit ribosomal RNA
Source: RNAcentral
GAAUAUUGGACAAUGGGCGCAAGCCUGAUCCAGCCAUGCCGCGUGGGUGAAGAAGGCCUUCGGGUUGUAAAGCCCUUUUGUUGGGGAAGAAAUCGUACGGGUGAAUAUCCCGUGCGGAUGACGGUACCCAAAGAAUAAGCACCGGCUAACUUCGUGCCAGCAGCCGCGGUAAUACGAAGGGUGCAAGCGUUACUCGGAAUUACUGGGCGUAAAGCGUGCGUAGGCGGUCUGUUAAGUCUGUCGUGAAAGCCCUGGGCUCAACCUGGGAAUUGCGAUGGAUACUGGCAGGCUAGAGUACGGUAGAGGAUGGUGGAAUUCCCGGUGUAGCGGUGAAAUGCGUAGAGAUCGGGAGGAACACCCGUGGCGAAGGCGGCCAUCUGGACCAGUACUGACGCUGAGGCACGAAAGCGUGGGGAGCAAACAG